RNAcentral lists this ribosomal RNA (232 nucleotides) under uncultured bacterium. RNAcentral describes it as "partial 16S ribosomal RNA". It matches the Rfam family "Bacterial small subunit ribosomal RNA", at positions 118 to 347 of the family's 1533-position model. The record is from RNAcentral.
UGAGUAACCUGCCCUUAACUCUGGGAUAAGCCUGGGAAACUGGGUCUAAUACCGGAUAUGACUCCUCAUCGCAUGGUGGGGGGUGGAAAGCUUUAUUGUGGUUUUGGAUGGACUCGCGGCCUAUCAGCUUGUUGGUGAGGUAAUGGCUCACCAAGGCGACGACGGGUAGCCGGCUGAGAGGGUGACCGGCCACACUGGGACUGAGACACGGCCCAGACUCCUACGGGAGCAG